CUGGUCUGAGAGGAUGACCAGCCACACUGGAACUGAGACACGGUCCAGACUCCUACGGGAGGCAGCAGUGGGGAAUAUUGCACAAUGGGCGCAAGCCUGAUGCAGCCAUGCCGCGUGUAUGAAGAAGGCCUUCGGGUUGUAAAGUACUUUCAGCGGGGAGGAAGGGAGUAAAGUUAAUACCUUUGCUCAUUGACGUUACCCGCAGAAGAAGCACCGGCUAACUCCGUGCCAGCAGCCGCGGUAAUACGGAGGGUGCAAGCGUUAAUCGGAAUUACUGGGCGUAAAGCGCACGCAGGCGGUUUGU
RNAcentral lists this ribosomal RNA (304 nucleotides) under Escherichia coli. RNAcentral's name for it is "bacterial SSU rRNA". It matches the Rfam family "Bacterial small subunit ribosomal RNA", at positions 287 to 583 of the family's 1533-position model. Lineage: Bacteria; Pseudomonadati; Pseudomonadota; Gammaproteobacteria; Enterobacterales; Enterobacteriaceae. The record is from RNAcentral.